Hordeum vulgare subsp. vulgare (domesticated barley) is the source of this 913-nucleotide long non-coding RNA. RefSeq lists it as uncharacterized. The record is from RefSeq and is a predicted model, not a curated record. The transcript has 3 exons. NCBI's taxonomy places the organism in Eukaryota, Viridiplantae, Streptophyta, Magnoliopsida, Poales, Poaceae.
CGUGAACCCUAAUCCAAUCCCGAGCCCCCCAGCCGCAGAGUCCAAUCCCGAUCGAGCCGGUCGCACGAGCAGGCGCGGCCGAGCCACCACUGGAUUCAUCCUCCAUCGUUCACAGAUCAUUUUGCUCGAGGACGCCACCAGCGACGGGGAAGGAUGCCGCCACUGGAUCCACCACUCUACCUCUCCCCUGCUCCUAAUCCAAGGUUCCCCCAUGGAUUCAGCCCAAUUCUCUAAGCCUUCUUUUUUUGGCUUGCAGGUGAGCGCAAAUAGGAAGCGAAGAGCCUUCUCCUGCAGCGGCGGGGGCGAUUGGGAUGAAGCCGCCACCACCGUUCCCCCACUACUCUGGUUCCCCGACGACUUCGCAAGUCCGUGAUGAACAGGGAGAAGGUAUUCCAGUUUCAUGGUUCAAAGGACUGAUGUUUUCACUUUGUUGUUGCACAAAUGGUCUAUCUCUUAUAAAGUGAAAGCAAAUUUAGGUCCAAGAACCAAGCUUAUUUUGUAGCUACACUCAAUCAACUGAGCAGACUAGGAGAUACAAUUGGCAAGUCCUAGAGAAGGAGAAAGGGUUAUCGACCAUCUGCUGCAUCCACACUAUGCUUGAUUAUGGGUCUAUUACAAAUAUGGAUAAUUUUGCAAAGAAUCAAUAUGUGAAUUCGAAGUUAUGCAGUUAGGCUUAUGGGCUACCUUUUAGAUUAGGCUUUUGUGUAUAUAUUUACUACACACGCGGAUGCAAAAAGACCACCAUAGUAGAGAUCAUAAUGUAGUUUUCCGUAGUUACCUAGGAUCGGUUCAUGUACUUUAUGUUGUUGUUGAUACAUGGCAUGCUAGACUAGGGUAUUACUACUUAGUGUUUCUAUAUGUAAUGUACUAUCCAAAAUAUGAUGUAUGAUAUGUCAGAUCUUAACGUUGUUUC